Molecule: ribosomal RNA, 468 nt
Filed under: uncultured bacterium
Lineage: Bacteria
Description: partial 16S ribosomal RNA
Rfam family: Bacterial small subunit ribosomal RNA
Source: RNAcentral
GACGAACGCUGGCGGCGUGCUUAACACAUGCAAGUCGAACGGAAAGGCCCUGCUUUUGUGGGGUGCUCGAGUGGCGAACGGGUGAGUAACACGUGAGUAACCUGCCCUUGACUUUGGGAUAACUUCAGGAAACUGGGGCUAAUACCGGAUAGGAGCUCCUGCUGCAUGGUGGUGGUUGGAAAGUUUCGGCGGUUGGGGAUGGACUCGCGGCUUAUCCGCUUGUUGGUGGGGUAGUGGCUUACCAAGGCUUUGACGGGUAGCCCGCCUGAGCGGGUGACCGGCCACAUGGGGACUGAGGGACGGCGCAGACUCCUACGGGAGGCAGCAGUGGGGAAUAUGGCACAAUGGGCGGAAGCCUGAUGCAGCAACGCCGCGUGCGGGAUGACGGCCUUCGAGGUGUAAACCGCUUUCGCCUGUGACGAAGCGGGAGUGACGGUAAUGGGUAAAGAAGCAACGGCUAACUACGUG